Molecule: ribosomal RNA, 593 nt
Filed under: uncultured Actinobacteridae bacterium
Lineage: Bacteria; Bacillati; Actinomycetota; Actinomycetes
Description: bacterial SSU rRNA
Rfam family: Bacterial small subunit ribosomal RNA
Source: RNAcentral
AGACUGUUUCUGAGUCGACGAUUCCUACGGGAGGCAGCAGCAGGGAAUUUUGCACAAUGGGCGAAAGCCUGAUGCAGCGACGCCGCGUGCGGGAUGAAUGCCUUCGGGUUGUAAACCGCUUUCAGGAGGGACGAAGCGAAAGUGACGGUACCUCCAGAAGAAGCCCCGGCCAACUACGUGCCAGCAGCCGCGGUAAUACGUAGGGGGCGAACGUUGUCCGGAUUUAUUGGGCGUAAAGAGCUCGUAGGCGGCUCAGCAAGUCGGCCGUGAAAACCCGGGGCUCAACCCCGGGACGCCGGUCGAAACUGCUGUGGCUAGGGUCCGGUAGAGGAGAGUGGAAUUCCCGGUGUAGCGGUGGAAUGCGCAGAUAUCGGGAGGAACACCAGUAGCGAAGGCGGCUCUCUGGGCCGGUACCGACGCUGAGGAGCGAAAGCUAGGGGAGCGAACAGGAUUAGAUACCCUGGUAGUCCUAGCCGUAAACGUUGGGCACUAGGUGUGGCGGACUCAUUGACGUCUGCCGUGCCGCAGCUAACGCAUUAAGUGCCCCGCCUGGGGAGUACGGUCGCAAGGCUAAAACUCAAAGGAAUUGACGG